This 527-nucleotide ribosomal RNA is filed under the name uncultured bacterium. RNAcentral's name for it is "bacterial SSU rRNA". It matches the Rfam family "Bacterial small subunit ribosomal RNA", at positions 338 to 856 of the family's 1533-position model. The record is from RNAcentral.
CCUACGGGAGGCAGCAGUAAGGAAUAUUGGACAAUGGUCGCAAGACUGAUCCAGCCAUGCCGCGUGCAGGAUGACAGCCCUAUGGGUCGUAAACUGCUUUUGUGCGAGAAAAAACCCCUCUACGUGUAGAGGGCUGAUUGUAUCGUAAGAAUAAGGAUCGGCUAACUCCGUGCCAGCAGCCGCGGUAAUACGGAGGAUCCAAGCGUUAUCCGGAUUCAUUGGGUUUAAAGGGUGCGUAGGCGGAAUGAUAAGUCAGUGGUGAAAGCCUGCAGCUUAACUGCAGAACUGCCAUUGAUACUGUCAUUCUUGAGUACAUUUGAUGUGGCGGAAUGUGUCAUGUAGCGGUGAAAUGCUUAGAUAUGACACAGAACACCGAUUGCGAAGGCAGCUCACAAACUGUAACUGACGCUGAGACGACGAAGACGGUAGGUAGUACAACGAAGUAAGUAAGUACUACCGUACGGUACGUACCGUACGUACGUACGUUAAACUAAUAGUAUUACUACGUAGUUGUUGUACGAGUACAC